This 74-nucleotide transfer RNA is filed under the name Marmota monax (woodchuck). Its description in RNAcentral is "tRNA.Ala". Lineage: Eukaryota; Metazoa; Chordata; Mammalia; Rodentia; Sciuridae. The record is from RNAcentral.
UUGAGGAUUUAGCUCAGUGGCAAAGCGUUUGCCUAGCACGCUAAAGGCCCUGAGUUUGGUCCUCAGUCCUGGAA